AUUAUGACUGCUUCCUCUUAUCAUCUUCUAAGUCUUUGCUGCACCCUGCCUGUCUUGCAGUCCAAGGAGCUGUUUUCCUAAGGGUUUUGCAUUGUAGGCUUCAGUCCUGCAAGAGGACUCUGCUUACCAAGGACUCUGCACAGAGCUGCUCCCCCUCAGGUGUCGAGGGGUCAUUUACGUAGGAUCUAAAAUGAAAGAUAUAAAGAAGAGGACACGACAGACAAGAAGACUUUUCUGGCUUUAUGACACUCUGUGGAAAAAAUGUAAUCCUGAACACUAGAAAAUGAAGCCCUCUUCCAAUAAGAAUGGAAUCAAUGAUUUUGUGCCAAAUUGUUUACCCAAGAACCUGAAAAUUAUCUAACAGCUGACCUGGCAGACAGCUGAGAUGAGAAAAGGUAGUGUGGCAGAGCUGAGAGGAAGACAAUAUGAUGCAAGCAGUAACAAUAGAUAGCUUGGAAAAUGUGAUGAUAAAUACCAAAAUGUUAAGCUUGCAUCCACACCACUCGUUUGCUUUAAAAAUAAAAAAAUAAAAAAAUUGGCUUUUUGUAGUAGCCUUUGGUAUUCAAAAUGUGGUUGUCCUGGGUUUAGUUCUGAAGUGUUUCCCUACCUAGAAUCCAUUUCUGCAAUGAUCAUGUCCAUUAGCAUGCCUGUUCUUUCACAUAUGAA
Cygnus olor (mute swan) is the source of this 666-nucleotide long non-coding RNA. RefSeq lists it as uncharacterized. The record is from RefSeq and is a predicted model, not a curated record. NCBI's taxonomy places the organism in Eukaryota, Metazoa, Chordata, Aves, Anseriformes, Anatidae. The transcript is spliced from 3 exons.